This 297-nucleotide ribosomal RNA is filed under the name Glomus sp. (unid). Lineage: Eukaryota; Fungi; Glomeromycota; Glomeromycetes; Glomerales; Glomeraceae. The record is from RNAcentral.
CAGUCGUACCUGCGGAUAAUCAGCUUUUUGAGUGUGAUUAUGUGGUUUAUGAGGAGUUUAACCGCCUUCAUGUAUUGCAUAUUUGUGCUCUUGGGUGUACUUGUCUGUGUGGUAGGUUAACAUCAAUUUCGGACGCCAUAAAAUGGCUGGAGGAAUGUAGCUUCGAUCUCGUAUUGAAGUGUUAUAGCCUUCGGUAGAUGUGGGUGAUCGAGAUUGAGGAUUGCAACGGAUACCCUUCGGGGCUGCCUGUCUGGUCUCUGAUCGUUGCUCUGGUGCCGAAAGCUUGCUUACGGUUAU